AACUAGCUACCACCGGGUAGCAAUAUGCCAAGCAUAUCGUUAUACAUCGUUAGGUCUUUGAAGAUGUAUGGCUGGUACGCUUAUUUUU
This 88-nucleotide non-coding RNA is filed under the name unclassified sequences. The record is from RNAcentral.